AUGAAUUUUGGAGUUCUACUGUGCCUGCCGUUCAUUCGGAUUGUGUGCACGUAGUCUCUAUAAAUCCUUAUCAACACCUGUGCACCUUUAAAAAGGGGGGAGUCUGAUUAAGCAUUUUAUUUAUAUGAUGCUUAUGACGAAUAACCUCUUUUCUUAUACAAACUCUUUUAAUGUCUAUUAGAAUGUUCUCUGGCCGCAAGGCUAUAAAAUAUAAA
This 215-nucleotide unclassified non-coding RNA is filed under the name soil metagenome. RNAcentral describes it as "partial internal transcribed spacer 1". The record is from RNAcentral.